GAUGAACGCUAGCUACAGGCUUAACACAUGCAAGUCGAGGGGAAACGAUAUUGGAAGCUUGCUUCCGAUAGGCGUCGACCGGCGCACGGGUGAGUAACGCGUAUCCAACCUGCCCAUCACUUGGGAAUAACCUUGCGAAAGUAAGACUAAUGCCCAAUGACAUUUAUAGAAGGCAUCUGAAAUGAAUUAAAGAUUUGUCGGUGAUGGAUGGGGAUGCGUCUGAUUAGCUUGUUGGCGGGGUAACGGCCCCACCAAGGCAACGAUCAGUAGCCGGACUGAGAGGAAGGUCCCCCACAUUGGAACUGAGACACGGUCCAAACUCCUACGGGAGGCAGCAGUGAGGAAUAUUGGUCAAUGGGCGAGAGCCUGAACCAGCCAAGUAGCGUGCAGGAAGACGGCCCUAUGGGUUGUAAACUGCUUUUAUAGGGGAAUAAAGUGAGCCACGUGNGGUUUUUUGCAUGUACCCUAUGAAUAAGGACCGGCUAAUUCCGUGCCAGCAGCCG
This 503-nucleotide ribosomal RNA is filed under the name uncultured bacterium. RNAcentral describes it as "bacterial SSU rRNA". It matches the Rfam family "Bacterial small subunit ribosomal RNA", at positions 28 to 517 of the family's 1533-position model. The record is from RNAcentral.